RNAcentral lists this ribosomal RNA (1513 nucleotides) under uncultured bacterium. RNAcentral describes it as "bacterial SSU rRNA". It matches the Rfam family "Bacterial small subunit ribosomal RNA". The record is from RNAcentral.
CGGAUCCGCGCCGCUGCAGAGUUUGAUCCUGGCUCAGGAUGAACGCUGGCGGCGUGCCUAACACAUGCAAGUCGAGCGGGAAUCAUCUGAUUGAAACUUCGGUAGAUAGAGGAUGAGGAUAGCGGCGGACGGGUGAGUAACGCGUAGGUAACCUGCCCCUUACACAGGGAUAGCCUCGGGAAACUGGGAUUAAUACCUGAUAACGCGGUGAAGUCACAUGGCUUUACCGCCAAAGAUUUAUCGGUGAGGGAUGGACCUGCGUCUGAUUAGCUUGUUGGUGAGGUAACGGCCCACCAAGGCAACGAUCAGUAGCCGACCUGAGAGGGUAAUCGGCCACAUUGGAACUGAGACACGGUCCAAACUCCUACGGGAGGCAGCAGUGGGGAAUAUUGCACAAUGGGCGCAAGCCUGAUGCAGCAACGCCGCGUGAGCGAAGAAGGUCUUCGGAUCGUAAAGCUCUGUCCUCAGGAACGAAGAAGUGACGGUACCUGAGGAGGAAGCCCCGGCUAACUACGUGCCAGCAGCCGCGGUAAUACGUAGGGGGCGAGCGUUAUCCGGAAUUAUUGGGCGUAAAGAGUACGUAGGCGGUUCUGUAAGCGUGAGGUGAAAGCCCGGGGCUUAACUCCGGUAAGCCUUUCGAACUGCAGGACUUGAGUGCUGGAGGGGAAAGUGGAAUUCCUAGUGUAGCGGUGAAAUGCGUAGAUAUUAGGAGGAACACCAGUGGCGAAGGCGACUUUCUGGACAGUAACUGACGCUGAGGUACGAAAGCGUGGGGAGCAAACAGGAUUAGAUACCCUGGUAGUCCACGCCGUAAACGAUGAGCACUAGGUGUCGGGGCAGCAAUGUUUCGGUGCCGCAGUUAACGCAAUAAGUGCUCCGCCUGGGGAGUACGCACGCAAGUGUGAAACUCAAAGGAAUUGACGGGGACCCGCACAAGCAGCGGAGCAUGUGGAUUAAUUCGAAGCAACGCGAAGAACCUUACCAGGGCUUGACAUCCCUCUGAAAGGCUGGGUAAAACCGGCCCCUCUUCGGACAGAGGUGACAGGUGGUGCAUGGUUGUCGUCAGCUCGUGUCGUGAGAUGUUGGGUUAAGUCCCGCAACGAGCGCAACCCUUGUCUUUAGUUGCCAGCAUUUCGGAUGGGCACUCUAGAGAGACUGCCGGGGACAACUCGGAGGAAGGUGGGGAUGACGUCAAAUCAUCAUGCCCCUUAUGUUCUGGGCUUCACACGUGCUACAAUGGUCGUUACAGAGAGAAGCAAUACCGUGAGGCGGAGCGAACCUCUAAAAGCGAUCCCAGUUCGGACUGCAGGCUGCAACUCGCCUGCACGAAGUCGGAGUUGCUAGUAAUCGCGAAUCAGAACGUCGCGGUGAAUGCGUUCCCGGGUCUUGUACACACCGCCCGUCACACCAUGGAAGUUGGGGGCGCCCGAAGUUGGUCACAAAUCGAUUACCUAAGGCGAAACCAAUGACUGGGGUGAAGUCGUAACAAGGUAACCCGGGCGGCCGCCGAGCC